Molecule: long non-coding RNA, 383 nt
Filed under: Bos taurus (domestic cattle)
Lineage: Eukaryota; Metazoa; Chordata; Mammalia; Artiodactyla; Bovidae
Description: long non-coding RNA NONBTAT018092
Source: RNAcentral
AGAGAAGUCAGAAUUUUUUUAAAAAUCUAGCUUGAAGGGAUCCUAGAUACUCCCCUUGGAGAUAAUUUGCAAAUUAGGAAACAAACAAACAAAAAAAAAAGUGGGAGAAAGAGGAGACUCUUCUAAAAAUUCAUUCAUGCAACUUUUGUUUACUUACAAAGCACAUUCAGUGAUCAUCAGUACCAAGCUGCUAGAGUGUUUACAAAGAUUAGUUAUAUUUAGUAUCUAGCCUCAAGGACUCUAUUGUCAUUUCAACUUUGUUCUAAGGAUGCUUUGAAUCAGGAAAAUUGCCCCAGAAAGGGCUUCAUUCCGUCUAGUCUUUUUGUUAGUAAAAUUUAAAUCUGAGGCUUUUUUGGGCAAAAGUGACUCAGCUAACAAUUAGG